This 96-nucleotide ribosomal RNA is filed under the name Acanthosepion pharaonis. Lineage: Eukaryota; Metazoa; Mollusca; Cephalopoda; Sepiida; Sepiidae. The record is from RNAcentral.
AUCACAUCGGUCUCCAUACAAUCACGGAAGUUAAGCAACGUCGAGCCUAGUUAGUACCUAGAUGGGUGGCCGCUUGGGAAUACCAUGUGCUGUAAG